UAAGGAAUAUUGCUCAAUGGGAGAAAUCCUGAAGCAGCAACGCCGCGUGGAGGAUGAAGGGUCUAUGACUUGUAAACUCCUGUAAAGAAGGAAAAAAUUCCCAUUAGAUGGGAGAUGAUGGUACUUCUGGAGUAAGCCCCGGCUAACUACGUGCCAGCAGCCGCGGUAAUACGUAGGGGGCAAGCGUUGUCCGGAUUUACUGGGUGUAAAGGGUGCUCAGGCGGAUUUGUAAGUCAGAGGUGAAAUCUUACAGCUUAACUGUGAAACUGCCUUUGAUACUGCAAGCCUAGAGUAUGGAAGAGAGUGAUGGAAUAUCUGGUGUAGCAGUGAAAUGCGUAGAUAUCAGAUAGAACACCAAUGGCGAAGGCAGUCACUUGGUCCACUACUGACGCUAAAGCACGAAAGCGUGGGUAGCAAACA
Molecule: ribosomal RNA, 420 nt
Filed under: uncultured bacterium
Lineage: Bacteria
Description: bacterial SSU rRNA
Rfam family: Bacterial small subunit ribosomal RNA
Source: RNAcentral